GUGAGGAAUAUUGCGCAAUGGAGGCAACUCUGACGCAGCCAUGCCGCGUGCAGGAAGAAGGCGCUACGCGUUGUAAACUGCUUUUAACCGGGAAGAAACCCCAGGACGUGUCCUGGGUUGACGGUACCGGAGGAAUAAGCACCGGCUAACUUCGUGCCAGCAGCCGCGGUAAUACGAAGGGUGCAAGCGUUAUCCGGAUUCAUUGGGUUUAAAGGGUGCGUAGGCGGAGCGUUAAGUCAGUGGUGAAAUCCUGCAGCUUAACUGUAGACUUGCCAUUGAUACUGGCGCUCUUGAGUGCGCUUGAAGUGGGCGGAAUGUGCCGUGUAGCGGUGAAAUGCUUAGAUAUGAUACAGAACACCGAUAGCGAAGGCAGCUUGCUGAACCAUUAUUGACGCUGAGGCACGAAAGCGUGGGGAGCGAACAGGAUUAGAAACCCGAGUAGUCC
RNAcentral lists this ribosomal RNA (445 nucleotides) under uncultured bacterium. Its description in RNAcentral is "partial 16S ribosomal RNA". It matches the Rfam family "Bacterial small subunit ribosomal RNA", at positions 354 to 796 of the family's 1533-position model. The record is from RNAcentral.